Molecule: long non-coding RNA, 3690 nt
Filed under: Homo sapiens (human)
Lineage: Eukaryota; Metazoa; Chordata; Mammalia; Primates; Hominidae
Description: HSALNT0312475
Source: RNAcentral
GAGACACGGUCUCCCUAUGUUGCCUAGGCUAGUGUCUUAUUUCUGGGCUCAAGCGAUCCUCCCGCCUCAGCCUCCCAGAGAGUUGGUAUUAUAGGCAUGAGCCACUGUGCUGGCUUGCACCUAGAUUCUUAAAGAGAACAUUACUAGAACAUUACCGGAAGCCCCUUGUGCACUGUCCCCUGUGGGCCACUUCUCCCACCCCAUUCCUGUCUUUUAAUACUAGAGAUCAGUUGUGCUUGUUUUUGAAAUUUAUGUGAGUGGAGUAUACUAUGUAUACAGUACACAGUAAAUACUGUAUGUACCACUGCCUAUAUACAGUAUACUCCACAGUGAGUGAAACAAGCCAGACUCAGAAGCAUACAUACUGUAUGUACCACUUUGCUUAGUAGCCACAGUGUAUGCACCAUGGUACAUGCAUAUACUUCUGAAUCUGGCUUGUUUCACUCAUGGUUAGGUGUGCAGGAUUCAUCCAUGUUGUUGUGUGCAGUUCUUGCUUAUUUUACCAGUCUGUCUUAUCCUGAGAAUAUCUUUGACAUUCAACUCUGCAUGCAGACCCUUCCUUACACGUUCUAGAGAGAGGACCUGUCUUCACCCUGUGUUUAUUACCCACAUACUUGAACAGCUGUUUCCUCCAGGCAUCAUUAUGCAAAAGGAAUGAAACCCGGUGUGUGCAGCUUUUUUAGAGGACGUAAAAGGAGUCAGCUCUUGCCUCUCAUCAAUAGUAUUGUUUAUCAGUCAUUUCUCUUUUGAGGCAUUGGUUGAAUAAAUGGGAAAAUUCCUGCUUUCAAGGAACUUAGCAGACUUGUUGACAGAUAAGACCAUAAGAAGAAAGCCAGUGAAGUACCCAGUGAUGUGAACGCCAUGGUAUGAGCAAGUACAUAAUAGAGACCACAAGUGCUUUUUAGAAGUUAGAGAUAGUCAUUCUCUGGGGCUUCCUCAGGAAAAUCCUCGCUGAAUCUGGGAUCUAAACUGGGCCUUAUGAUUCUUGGAUAUAAGGUUUGUUGUAUAGGUUGAUACAAGUUACUUAUUAAUAGUUGUUUGCCCCCCUCCCUUUCACUAUCUUUAGGUGAUGAUGUCCACACCUUUCCACAUCUCCUCAGGAGCUGGUGAUUCCCAGAUACUAUUUGUUAACCUGCAUCACCACUCCCAUGCACACGAACACAGGACAAACAAAUCCAGCUGCUUCCUGGCAUCUCUACUUGAACAACUUAAAGGCAAUUCAGAUCCCACAGGGUGAAAAGCUGAAUUCAUCUAUCAGAGUGUUUUCUAAAAUCCCAAGUAGAUUAUGUCCCAUUCCUGCUUAAAAUGAUCUCCUGAUUCUCAUUGCCUUUUGGAUAAAAUCCAAUCCUGAGUAUCAACAAGGGGCUUGUGAUUUGGUCCUUUUCUGUGUCAUUCUUUAGAAUUUCUGGAAGCAGCCUAUCAUCGCUCCGUCUGCCCUCCAUACACAGCGUUUGUGUGUGUUAUGCCAAACUGCUUGGUGUUUUCCAACCGUGGACCAUGAUAUCUCACUUCCUUAACCUUACCUUCAUAUGCUUUUCCUUUGUGUCUUCUUCUGAAAUGCUUCUUCCUUUUGUCCAGGCUGACUCCUGUUUGUCUGAGACUUGUGUCUCAGGAAGCCUUUCCGUUCCCCUCCAGUCAUUCAUACCUCUGUCAUAACACAUAGACUGUAUUUUUAAUUUGAUUUCCAAUCUGUCUCUUUUAGGUUGUCACCUUUUUUGAGGGCAAGACCUUUUUGUUUCAUGGCUUUAGUUUGCUGUGUUUGUUACAGUGCCUGGCAUUUGGUAGGGGUUGAGUAAAUGUAUACAGAAUAAAUGAAGCCUGGGAGAAGGAGUUCCAGUUAAGAGUUCUAAUAAAUAACUGUUUUUUCAAAAUCUUGGGGCUUUCAUCUUGUGUGUUGAAUGUUACUGGAUUAGGGGAAAGUUGUCUUUAUGAAGUGGGCCCUUUAAACUAGUAUUCCUGUUUUUCUGUUAUAGUUCCCUACUCCCCGCCCCACACCCCCUCUAAAAAAAAAGUACUAGAAGUUACACACAGAACUGUAGCCUUGGAGGCUGUAGGCAGUGCAUUUAAAGUACUUCUGGAGUGGUUUUGAGCUUCAGAGCAUUGACACACUUCCCUAAAUAACUGUGACAAUUCUUUCUAUUUGCUGUUGCCCAUCGGUGAUUUCAGUGGCCAGUAGUCAUACUGGAAAGUCUGAUAAUAAAGCAGGGGAUCAGUCAUGUGGUACCAAACCAGUUGUGGGGAAUGUUAGAUGUGUUAAGAUGUGAUUAGCAACGACAUUCCUGUUUGUAAACUGGCAUCUAUGGCGGUUUAAAAAUGGUGGCAAAACCAUUUUGAGUAUUGUUGGAAAUGUUAUCUGUUCUGCCGUGUUAAUAUACCUAUAAGUUGGUAGUUGCAUCUUGUACCCUUGAUAGUCAUACUUUGUACAUUGUGUAUGCCACUCUUCUGUUGAGUAAUUUGGAUUAAUUACUUUGGAGAUUGAAGUCUUGACUCAUUCACUUCACUCAUUUAUUUAGCUGUAUUUUCAGUUCCAUGCAAUGAGUGACACAGACUGUGCUGCCAAAAAGGAAUUCUCAGUAAGGGCAAUGCACAUAAAUUACUGUGUUACUCAGAAAUCAUGAAUAGUUGAGAUCACAAGCGGAGAGAUGGAACCAGGUCUUAUAAUCAGUAAACCAAUAUUCCAGUAAAAAGCCUGCAAAGAAUGCAAAUAAGUAAUAAAAUAACUACAAAUUAAGUCAGUAAAUAUGAGAAAUGUAUAGCCUACCCAUUACUCAAAGGAAUACAAAUGUAUGUGUGGAUGAGUCAGUAUCACUUUUAUAGUUGGAAGAAAGCAGUUUUCCUAAUAGGAAAUUUUUAGAAUUAAUCUGGUUUGGAAUAUUUAAGUGACAAUGUGUUUUUACAUUAAGGGAUUAAAAUUUUUAUCAGGCACACUACUAACUUAGUAUUAAAACAGCUGUUAAGAUUGGAAAGUAUCUGAAUGUAUUCUUUAAAAUAUAUUGUAUUUGUAAAUUUAAAAUUGUUUCGUACUCUUCAUAUAUAAGACAUUUUGUGUGAUGUUCUAAAUCAGUGCUAUCCAAAAGAAAUAUAUUGUAAGCCACAUGUAAUUUUAACUUUCUAGUAGUCACAGGAAGAAAGUAAAUUAAGCAGGUGAAAUUAAUUUUAAGAAUAUGUUUUAUCGAACCAAUUAUAUCCAGAAUGUUUUUUUUAACAUGUAACCAGUAUUACAGUGAGAUAGUUUACAUUCUUUUUUUCAAAGACAGUCUUCAAAAUCUAGUGUACAUUUUAGGGUUACAGCAAAGUUUAGUUCAGACUAACCACAUUUCAAGUGCUCAGUAGCCACCUUUGGCUAGUGGGUACCAUAUUGAAGAAGAGGAUGAGUAGUUGGGAGUGAGGGCUUUGAUGUCAGACCCAAGUUUGAGUAACAGCAGCUCUGCCAUUUGCUCACCUUGUGACCUUGGGUAUGUUACAUGAACUUGUGCUUUUGUUUUUCAUUUAUAAGGUACAACAGUUGAUUGCUAAAUAGGAUUCUUCUGAAGCACUGUCUGUUUUAAAACGGUGAUCCCUCUUAGUAGAGCUCCCAUAGAAUGCCUUCCGAAGUUCUCUUCUGCUCUGUACUCUCUGGCUGAAAGUUUCAGAAACAGAGCGACUAGAGUGGUCUAGAGUCAGAAUACAGUGUAAGGAAGCAAAGGGGAU